AUACGGAGGGUGCAAGCGUUAUCCGGAAUCAUUGGGUUUAAAGGGUCCGCAGGCGGAUUAAUAAGUCAGUGGUUAAAUCCUCUCGCUCAACGAGAGAACUGCCAUUGAAACUGUUAGUCUUGAAUUCGGUCGAAGUAGGCGGAAUGUGUCAUGUAGCGGUGAAAUGCAUAGAUAUGACACAGAACACCGAUAGCGAAGGCAGCUUACUAGACCUGGAUUGACGCUCAUGGACGAAAGCGAGGGGAGCGAACAGGAUUAGAAACCCUAGUAGUCC
RNAcentral lists this ribosomal RNA (274 nucleotides) under uncultured bacterium. Its description in RNAcentral is "partial 16S ribosomal RNA". It matches the Rfam family "Bacterial small subunit ribosomal RNA", at positions 523 to 796 of the family's 1533-position model. The record is from RNAcentral.